AAGCAAGGAGGAGGAGAAGCUGUGUAGUCAGCGGGAGGAUUUCAGUGACACGGUUGCCGAGAAUGAGAAGAAGAGGAAACGAAAAAUGCAGGAAAAGGAUGGAAAAUCGAAGAAAAAGGAUUUCAAGUUCUAGGACGUGCUGCUGGUUUUGUGAUCGGAAUGUUAGAAUGCCAGAUCCAUUAUGCUUUUCUUAGACACCUCUAAAUUUUUAUCAUUCGGAAUCAUAAUUGUUGUGU
This is a non-coding RNA of Camellia sinensis, 236 nucleotides long. Lineage: Eukaryota; Viridiplantae; Streptophyta; Magnoliopsida; Ericales; Theaceae. The record is from RefSeq and is a predicted model, not a curated record.